CCCCUCUGCAGCCGGUGCCUUGGGGUGCACGGCACAGGCCUCCUCUAGGCCGGCUUCCCCGGCAGUGCCCUGGGGAAGUGGCUUCACUCCAGAGAAGGAGUUCCUGUGGAAGUCUCGAGUAACGGGGUCUUCUCAGGUUUGUGUUCUUGAAAGCGCACUCCCGUGAGGGGCCGCGACUUUGUGAAGGGGCUAAAAGUGGAGAGGGCAGAGCCGCAAUGGCUACAGGACGGACGGACCUGUGGCAGGAGGGGCGGCCAGGAUGUUAGAUGCGGGGUGGGAGAUGGAAAUUUGGAUUGCCCUGAGUUCCGGGGGCCACAGGCCAGCAGAGACGGAGGCCUAGGAUGGAGUCUCUGAUCCCAGGACUGUUUUGUGUUCAAAGCCAGCCGGAGCUGAGUCAUUUUAUAGUGACUCAGCACCCCGAGAAUUAGAGUUCUUAAAAAUUCAAUCCCACACAGCUGGGUACCAGCUUACUGACUUUGAACACUUGUGAAAGACUGAAAAUUUCCUGGCUUGCAUCUCCUGCCUCCCCAGACUGCCAAAAGCACUAAACAUUCCCUGCAGUGUCUUCCCAGUCUCUUGAAAGCCAAAACUGAACAGUAUGACCCAGGCCAAUCAAGGAACAUCCAGGUUGCUUUUGAUCAAUGUGCGGAAGAGAAAGAGGACUCUGGAAGCCUUAACACUAUGGACAGGUUAAAGGCUUGUAGUUUCAAGCUACAGUGCUUAAAGCCUAAUUCUGGCCUUCCCGACUCUUGUCUGGGUUGCUUCAACUCUUCUAAAGCUUCGAACAGCUUCCAAAGGCUAUGCCAUUAGUGAUCACACAUCUUGGUGAUCACUUGGAUUUACGGUUGUAUGUAAUUUUAAAUAUAAAAUUAUUGUUAGUUAUUCAAUUAUGCGGGGCAUGUGCCACAGCACACAUGUGGCGGUGAGAGAACAGCGUUCAGUGCUCACCAUCCAGCAUGAGGUUGCCAGAGAAAACUCGUGAUUGUCAAGCGUGGCAGCAAACACCCUGACCUACUGAACCAUCUUUUUGGCCUUUGUGAUCACUUUCAGGCCUCCUGAAACAAAAAACAAGAUAGGUGUCCAGCACUUGGGAAGCCACAGUGCAGGAUUUGAAGUUUGGGGCUAAUGGGCUGCAACGCAAGACCAUGCCAAUAGAUACAUGAUGCUGGCUGAUGGUUUGCCUUAUACAAAGUGAGUAUCAAGCACAUUUGAUCACUCUCCCAGUUUCCAUCUCUACCCAAAUAGCCCAAAAACAUAGUAGCACUGCUCUUCAAACAGCCCUAAAAUGCACCUGUGGCUUGGCUACUUGACUAUAUGUGGAGUUAAUUAAAACCCAAUCAACUGGGGACACCUGUGAGGAAUUUUAUUUAAGUCAUCUGAAGAGGAAAGACCAAUGUUUAAUAUGGGUCUCUGAAGGAGAGAAGACCCCCCUUUAAUCUGAGCCACACCUUCUGCUGGUAGCCUAAAGGACAUGAAAGAGAAGGCUUGCUCUUUCUGUGCUUGUUCUCGCUGGCAAGUCCAUUCCUUCACUGGCAGUAGACCUACUUCUUUGGGAUUCCAGUGCAUACUGAAGACCAACCGAGACAUCCUGCCUCAUGGGCUGAACGAACAACUACGGGGUUCUUGGAAGUUCUGUUGGUGGACAGCCAUUGUUGGAUGAGCUGGACUGUAGCCUCUCUACCGUUCUAGUAAUCCGAUAUAUAUUCAUUCUAUCAGUUUUGUCCUUCUCGAGCAGUGGUUUUGAACCUUCCUGAUGCUGCAACCCUUCAGGGCAGUCCCUCAUGUUGUAACCACCGACCAUAAAAUGAUUUCAUUGCUACUUCCUAACUCUAAUUUUGCUACUGUUAUGAAUCGUAAUGUGAAUGUGUCUUCCAAUGGUUUUAGGCAACCCCUGUGAUAGGGUUGUUUGAACCCCCCAAAGAGGUUGAGACCCACAGGUUGAGAAUCACUGUUCUGAAGAACCCUGAAUAACACACUAGGCUUGUUAGUGAUUAUCUUACCAUAAUGACAAGUGACUGGGCUGGGAAGUGUAAGCACAUAGGAAUACUUGAUUUCAAGAAAAGAAAAUUAGUGAACUGAGCUUCCAUCAUGUUUCCCAGGAAUGUACAUAAGAUAGAAUGCAUACCAGGAUUGAGACUGCUCAUUUCUGUCUGGGGUGGAUCUGUCCUACAAGAGACUUGUUCUUUGGAUAAGGUUCUGGUAUUAUAUUUGGUUUCAUUUAGGAGGUUCUCCUUUCUAAGCUUUAAGAAAGUAGACGCUAAAUGGUAUGCAGAGACAACCCUCCAAAUUUAAACUGUAAUCAAAUUCUACAGAACCUGCACAGAUCUCGCUUCCACACUCAAACGAAAGCAUGCUAACACACUUCAAAGCCAUUUUUGCUUUCAAUAUAGUUUAUUCUGAUGAAGUUACAAAAGUAGAUACAAAAUACUUUUUUAAAAAGUACAGUUAACGACUUAGAAAAAUAGAUAAAGCCCUAAAGGUUUAAAAAUACAACAUAAAUUUUUAUGUGAGGAAUAUUUUAAGUUAUUUUAGAUGGUAACCAAGACUACCUUAUGCAAACUAUUUUUGAUGCAGACCAACACAGAAUGCCGUUCUAUAAUCAGACCACAGCACAAUGGCUAUCCAGAACAGCUUCACAGAAUGCUUGUUUGAGAAAACCCAUGUGAAUUUCAAUGUGGUUGCUUCAGUAAAAUCACUACUGCCACGUGUGCUCCAGAGCCCUUCAGAGCCAAGCAUCAAAAUUGAAUGUGUAAAAUCAGGAAGACCAAAAGACUACUGUUACCUUUUUUGCCAGAACUCUUACUGACCGCAGGUGAAAAGAACAUGACUACCGAAAGUGCUCAGCAGCUCAUGUCCAGGCUGGCACUGUUCAGGCCAGGGCUCCACACUGAUAGGGGAUGCUCCCAUAGAGAGCAGAGGAGCCCGGGCACCAUGACUGGAAACACACUUGUAGGGCCUACGCUCUUCAGGCCUGAUUUGUUUAUGAUUCUGAGGUAAUGACGUCAUGUCUGAGAAGCUCCACUUGUAGUAUUAUCUUGGGGCUCAGAGAGAAGCCAAGAGUACAAACAGGAAACCUCAGUACCAGGACUGUGCUGAGCCUUUGCUCCGAGUCAUGGGGAACACAGAUAUGCAGCUCUCCAGUGAGCAGCCAUGGGAACUAGAGCUCUGCAAGCCUAGGAUCCAAGAAACCCUGGCUAACUGGCUCCUGGUAAGUCACUUUAUUCAGGCAGCAGAGUACAGUAUAGUACCUGUCGGCACAAAAACCGUACAAGAAUGAUUUUUUUUUAAAUCUGUCUAUCAUUGUCCAAGUUUUCUUUUUUUAAUUUAAUGUGCACUGGUGUUUGUCCUGCAUGCAUGUCUGUGUGAGGGUGUCCGAUCCACUGGAACUUGAGUUAUAAACAUCUGUGAACUGUCAUGUGGAUGGUGAAAAUUGAACCAGAUGCUUUGGAAGAGUAGCCAAAGCUCUUAAUCACUGAGCCAUCUCUCCAGACCCCACUGUCCAAGUUUUUAAAAGUCCUAGAAGUUAAAGCACCAGAGGGCUAAGGCAGAAUUCAACGGACCCUCAGAAGCCACAGCAAUGAGCAAAAACAGACAGGACAGCUGCCCUCUGCUGAGGGGAGCAGGAGAGCUGUGAAGAAGGCAGCUAAAGCCAGGACAGACUGAUUUCUUCAGAUGCUAUAAAAGGGCUCUCUAGCCACGGCAGAAAGACACCGUCUUCCUCCCAUGUUCCUGCCUCAGAGACGAGCAAACAGUGCAAUGUGGGCACACUGCUGGUUAAGGCAGGUUGGUUUGGGAGUCUGACACGCUUUUCAUUUAAAACGGCAGAAGGAAAAAAGGGGAGUGGGAACACAACAAAGAAGAGAGGCACUCUUGAGUUUCAAACCAGCAACAAGGUUUGCUUUAUGUCCGACUAAUGAGCUGCCUCUGUAUCUGGAGCUCAGUCAUGGAGUGGGCAUUUCUAUCCUGAAAUACAUGCAGAGAAAAGAGAAACCUUGGAUUUGAGGGUGCCAGAUAUAAAAAUGAUUAAGCCCUGGUUGAGAAACAAAACUUCAUGCCUUUGGGACCUAAGCAAAUCAAAGUGAACGGGGCCUGUGUUUGAGAUGAUGCAUUCUCGGUGGCGAGAAGCCUGCUUCCUGUCUGCAGAUGGCUGUCAUAUACUUACAGAACAGCUGACAUCUGGACCUUUGCAUACACCUGGGUUGUGGGGUGUUUCCAAGCUGUCCUUUUUUCCCUAAACCAUUAUCCCAACUUGAAUUGCUCUAAUGGUGGUGUAUGGUUGCAGCCAAAAUAAACAAAACAAUUCCUUUAAACUUCUAAGCAUACUUCAGAACAUACUGAAAACGUGAGCUUCUAAGCAAUUAUUUGAGUCUAGUGAAUUCAAAUAACAAAAACCCAUCAACUCUAACUUUCACAAAGCUGUAGGACAGUGAGUGCUGUGCAGCCCAGCUCUGACACAGAGAAUGCUGAUAAAUUCCAGCACUGCCCGUGGGGCACGGGCUCAGGACACUUCGGACAUCAUAUAUAUAUCUGAAGAAGCAGCCAGGACUACAUCUGAGACCAAAUGAAAAGCAGGCACCUCUUAAUAAAGGAGUCUUUUAUCCUGACAGGAUGAGGAAAUUUUCAAGUUUUGAUACAAAGACAAGUAGGACAGAAGCCUGAGAGCGCAGUGCAGCCUUUGUGUAGUAAAAGUGAAGCCAGGCUGUUGUCAACUCAAUCUCCUUACUGCGUGGUCUCCAGCUCUCCCUCUAACAGGCAGCACGGAGACCUUCUGCAGUCACACACACCCUCAAACUGUUCUAUGGUUUUGACUUUUGUCCUUAUUGCCAUAAAGUCUGUGCAUUUCUACACACAAAUGUAAGUUUCAAGUUGCGAUAUAAACAUGGGCUCAUUUAGGAAAUCAAGUACUCUGAAUACUUUUUUCUAUUGUCCCCUCCAGAACUUAAUGAAAACAGUAGCUUCGAGGCUGAAGUCUGUCACAGUUUUCUGGAAGUUUUCUUGAUCUCUGCCAUAAGCUACCUAUGAAGUUAAUCUGAGUGAAGAGUUUCAAAUGAGAGCCUGCAAGGCUGACGUCAGAAGACACACAGAGUGUGUCUGUUGUGAGCUCUCCUCAUCUAGACAGACAUGAAGACAAUCCCAAACAAGUUCAAAAAGUAAAGUCACUUCAAAUAACUUUGGUUAAUCUCAGUUCACAUGUGCCUAUGCCUUGUGGAUUUCAGCACAGUUUCACAUGUAACCCAGGCCAGCCUCUUCUUCCACAGUGUCAGUAACAGGCACGCACCAU
This is a long non-coding RNA of Meriones unguiculatus (Mongolian gerbil), 5281 nucleotides long. RefSeq lists it as uncharacterized. Lineage: Eukaryota; Metazoa; Chordata; Mammalia; Rodentia; Muridae. The transcript is spliced from 2 exons. The record is from RefSeq and is a predicted model, not a curated record.